This 484-nucleotide ribosomal RNA is filed under the name uncultured bacterium. Its description in RNAcentral is "partial 16S ribosomal RNA". It matches the Rfam family "Bacterial small subunit ribosomal RNA", at positions 30 to 507 of the family's 1533-position model. The record is from RNAcentral.
AUUGAACGCUGGCGGCAUGCCUAACACAUGCAAGUCGAGCGGAAGAACGGAGCUUGCUCCUGGAUUCAGCGGCGGACGGGUGAGUAAUGCCUAGGAAUCUGCCUGGUAGUGGGGGAUAACGUCCGGAAACGGGCGCUAAUACCACAUACGACCUGAGGGUGAAAGUGGGGGAUCUUCGGACCUCACGCUAUCUGAUGAGCCUAGGUAGGAUUAGCUAGUUGGUGGGGUAAAGGCCUACCAAGGCGACGAUCCGUAGCUGGUCUGAGAGGCUGAUCAGUCACACUGGAACUGAGACACGGUCCAGACUCCUACGGGAGGCAGCAGUGGGGAAUAUUGGGCAAUGGGCGAAAACCUGAUCCAGCAAGGGCGCGUGUGUGAAGAAGGCCCUCGGAUUGUAAAGCACUUUAAGUUGGGAGGAACGGCAGUCAGCUAAUACCUUGCUGUUUUGACGGUACCAACAGAAUAAGCACCGGCUAACUACGUG